GACGAACGCUGGCGGCGUGCUUAACACAUGCAAGUCGAACGGAAAGGCCCUGCUUUUGUGGGGUGCUCGAGUGGCGAACGGGUGAGUAACACGUGAGUAACCUGCCCUUGACUUUGGGAUAACUUCAGGAAACUGGGGCUAAUACCGGAUAGGAGCUCCUGCUGCAUGGUGGGGGUUGGAAAGUUUCGGCGGUUGGGGAUGGACUCGCGGCUUAUCAGCUUGUUGGUGGGGUAGUGGCUUACCAAGGCUUUGACGGGUAGCCGGCCUGAGUGGGUGACCGGCCACAUUGGGACUGAGAUACGGCCCAGACUCCUACGGGAGGCAGCAGUGGGGAAUAUUGCACAAUGGGCGGAAGCCUGAUGCAGCAACGCCGCGUGCGGGAUGACGGCCUUCGGGUUGUAAACCGCUUUCGCCUGUGACGAAGCGUGAGUGACGGUAAUGGGUAAAGAAGCACCGGCUAACUACGUGCCAGCAGCCGCGGUGAUACGUAGGGUGCGAGCGUUGUCCGGAUUUAUUGGGCGUAAAGGGCUCGUAGGUGGUUGAUCGCGUCGGAAGUGUAAUCUUGGGGCUUAACCCUGAGCGUGCUUUCGAUACGGGUUGACUUGAGGAAGGUAGGGGAGAAUGGAAUUCCUGGUGGAGCGGUGGAAUGCGCAGAUAUCAGGAGGAACACCAGUGGCGAAGGCGGUUCUCUGGGCCUUUCCUGACGCUGAGGAGCGAAAGCGUGGGGAGCGAACAGGCUUAGAUACCCUGGUAGUCCACGCUGUAAACGGUGGGUACUAGGUGUGGGGUCCAUUCCACGGGUUCCGUGCCGUAGCUAACGCUUUAAGUACCCCGCCUGGGGAGUACGGCCGCAAGGCUAAAACUCAAAGGAAUUGACGGGGCCCCGCACAAGCGGCGGAGCAUGCGGAUUAAUUCGAUGCAACGCGUAGAACCUUACCUGGGUUUGACAUGGAUCGGGAGCGCUCAGAGAUGGGUGUGCCUCUUUUGGGGUCGGUUCACAGGUGGUGCAUGGCUGUCGUCAGCUCGUGUCGUGAGAUGUUGGGUUAAGUCCCGCAACGAGCGCAACCCUUGUUCACUGUUGCCAGCACGUUAUGGUGGGGACUCAGUGGAGACCGCCGGGGUCAACUCGGAGGAAGGUGGGGAUGACGUCAAGUCAUCAUGCCCCUUAUGUCCAGGGCUUCACGCAUGCUACAAUGGCUGGUACAGAGAGUGGCGAGCCUGUGAGGGUGAGCGAAUCUCGGAAAGCCGGUCUCAGUUCGGAUUGGGGUCUGCAACUCGACCUCAUGAAGUCGGAGUCGCUAGUAAUCGCAGAUCAGCAACGCUGCGGUGAAUACGUUCCCGGGGCU
This 1346-nucleotide ribosomal RNA is filed under the name uncultured bacterium. RNAcentral's name for it is "bacterial SSU rRNA". It matches the Rfam family "Bacterial small subunit ribosomal RNA", at positions 28 to 1381 of the family's 1533-position model. The record is from RNAcentral.